Molecule: long non-coding RNA, 1356 nt
Organism: Galeopterus variegatus (Sunda flying lemur)
Lineage: Eukaryota; Metazoa; Chordata; Mammalia; Dermoptera; Cynocephalidae
Exons: 2
Source: RefSeq, a predicted model, not a curated record
ACACACACACACACACACACACACACACGCGCGCACAGUGGUUCUCGCCCCAGGAUAGAAGCUGCCCAGAAACUGCUUCCUGGCUUUUUUCUUCUUCCGAGCUUGUCUUAUCUCCAACCCCUUCCAGUCGAGGAACUGGCAUCAGCAGCGAGAGUUGGAAGCCUUCCCACAGCUUGCCCCAGAGCAAAGAGGCUGUAGUCACGUCCAUGCCCCCACUGGAUCCCCUUUGCAGGGAGAGGCUCGGGCCAGGAUGAACCAGCACGGACAACAGGCAGAGGGUCCACUGUGACCUCCAACCUCAAGCAACCAGCUGAGGAGGAUUUUCACUUCUGAUCUACCAGUGUCUAGCCAACUCUCCACGAACGCCUUUGUGAACUGAAGAAAGACUGGCAGCUGGCCUGUAGACCCAGCCUGACCACCGGUGAGCAUUUCUUAAGCUCAGCUCUUGAUACGGGAACGAUUGUCUUCACUCCAGCCAGCAUCAUUGUCUUCAGUGCUUCCCAGACCCGGGGUCUGUUGGGAGGGAAGAGAACUGGGCCUAACCUAACCUGAACUCACUGACCCUCAGAGGUGGACCUGGGACAUCCUCGAGGCCCUAGCAUUUCUCCUUGGAUAGGGGACCAGAAGGGGCUUGGAAUGUGGCAUAAGAACAAGGAGAAGUCACCCAAGGGAUGUCAAUUUUUCUCCCUCUGCAUGGGUUUGAUUUUCAAAGUCACAAUUUGCAGAACGUCAGCAUUUGUAGUGAAAUAUAUAAUUAUAUAUACUAAUAUAAUGUGGCCACACUGAUGUGGGGUCCCACCACCUCACAACCCUGGCCCUUUGUCACAGAUUAGAACCUAGGUUAGAGGAUCUCAGAAGACAUGCGGGGGAGUUUUUUGGCACAGUUGUUAAUUUCCCCGGGACUUUGAAUUCAUUUCGGUCUGAACACAAAGCCUUUCCUAGUCCUGGCCAGACACACUGGGGGUGGGAGGGGGGGAGAUGCUGUAAUGAAACCGGUUAGUCAAUGUUGUCUUUAAGAUUGUUGACAAUUCUGUAAAGUUCCUUUUUAUGAAUAUUUCUGUUUAAGCUAUUUCACCUUUGUUUUGAAAUCCUUCCCUUUUAAGGAGAAAAUGUGACACUUGUGAAAAAGCUUGUAAGAAAGCCCCUCCUCCCCUUUCUUUCCUUUAAACCUCCUUUAAGUGACAAAUCUUCUAGGUAAUUAAGGUUGUGAAUUUUUAUUUUUGCUUUGUUUUUAAUGAACACUUGUCUUUCAGAAUAGGAUUGUGUGAUAAUGUUUAAAUGGCAAAAAAAAAAACCAUGAUUUUGUGCAAUUAACAAAGCUACUGCAAGAAAAAUAAAACAUUUCUUGGUAACACA